RNAcentral lists this ribosomal RNA (405 nucleotides) under alpha proteobacterium enrichment culture clone LiUU-15-793. RNAcentral's name for it is "bacterial SSU rRNA". It matches the Rfam family "Bacterial small subunit ribosomal RNA", at positions 509 to 916 of the family's 1533-position model. Lineage: Bacteria; Pseudomonadati; Pseudomonadota; Alphaproteobacteria. The record is from RNAcentral.
CAGCCGCCGCGGUAAUACGAAGGGACCUAGCGUAGUUCGGAAUUACUGGGCGUAAAGCGCGCGUAGGCCGUUGAGUUAGUUAAUUGUGAAAUCCCAAAGCUUAACUUUGGAACUGCAAUUAAAACUGCUCGACUAGAGUUUGAUAGAGGAAAGCGGAGUACAUAGUGUAGAGGUGAAAUUCGUAGAUAUUAUGUAGAACACCAGUUGCGAAGCCGGCUUUCUGGAUCAACACUGACGCUGAGGCGCGAAAGUAUGGGUAGCAAAGAGGAUUAGAUACCCUCGUAGUCCAUACCAUAAACGAUGAUUGCUAGAUGUUGGAAAUUUAUUUUCAGUAUCGCAGCUAACGCAUUAAGCAAUCCGCCUGGGGAGUACGACCGCAAGGUUAAAACUUAAAUGAAUUGACGG